CCUACGGGUGGCAGCAGUGAGGAAUAUUGGUCAAUGGCCGUAAGGCUGAACCAGCCAAGUCGCGUGAAGGAAGAAGGAUCUAUGGUUUGUAAACUUCUUUUAUAGGGGAAUAAAGGUAUCCACGUGUGGAUAUUUGCAUGUACCCUAUGAAUAAGCAUCGGCUAACUGCGUGCCAGCAGGGGCGGUAAUACGGAGGAUGCGGGCGUUGGGGGGAUUGAUUGGGGUGAAAGGGUGCGUAGGUUGUUUUUUAAGUCAUCGGUGAAAGUUUGUGGCUCAACCAUAAAAUUGCCGUUGAAACUGGAGGACUUGAGUGUGUUUGAGGUAGGCGGAAUGCGUGGUGUAGGGGUGAAAUGCAUAGAUAUCACGCAGAACUCCGAUUGCGAAGGCAGCUUACUAAGCCAUAACUGACACUGAAGCACGAAAGCGUGGGGAUCAAACAGGAUUAGAUACCCCAGUAGUC
This 460-nucleotide ribosomal RNA is filed under the name uncultured bacterium. RNAcentral describes it as "partial 16S ribosomal RNA". It matches the Rfam family "Bacterial small subunit ribosomal RNA", at positions 338 to 795 of the family's 1533-position model. The record is from RNAcentral.